Long non-coding RNA from Triticum aestivum (bread wheat), 3624 nucleotides. RefSeq lists it as uncharacterized. The transcript has 2 exons. Lineage: Eukaryota; Viridiplantae; Streptophyta; Magnoliopsida; Poales; Poaceae. The record is from RefSeq and is a predicted model, not a curated record.
UAUAUAUUUAAUGCAGGAUCUAUUUAGAGGCUGGCGAGGCCAACAAUUCGUCCGGCGAUGUGCGCAAAGGUGUAAAAUCCUACUCAGUACUCACCAUAUUUUUCAUUAUGUUGCAUCAGAUGUAGCUAGUUAUGUUCACUUAGCAGUUUUAAUUGCAAAUUUAUGGGGUAAAUUCCUAUCGUCUUCCCAGGCAGUUUCACCCGAAGGGAACACUUCUCUACGGCCACAAGGUUCUCAUUCAAACGCCACUCUGGCUACACAGAGAACUACACACGCAGAGGUUUCUCCUAUAGGAUCCCUAGAAUAAGAACUCGUCCCAUAAAUUCAUAAAUAAAAGCACUAAGUGAAACCAAGAAACUACAUCAUUUCAACAACAUAAUUUACAUAUGGUUUUCCCUUUCGAGAGGCCCCGAAGGGAUUACACACAACUAGGAAAUUACCUUCAAACUCUUGGCGAACUAAGCGCCUUCUUGGCUAUUCUACUAGUAGUGGUGGUGGCUAGACUACGAAGGAAGUGGUGCUUUGGUGGAGAGUCUCGAUGCUUUGAGUGCUCCGUGCUCUCCCGUCUCUUGUGUUCUCUUCUUGAGCCCAGCGUCUCCUUUUAUAGCCGCGAGGGGUGGCUGCAAGGUGGCCUUCGGAAGCCUUCCUUCACUUAUUUUACCCAUGGUAGCAUGCACACGUGUCCUACUAGGGUAUACGUGUGUCCUUCUAAUAAUAUAGAAAAGUGCGACAGAGUGCUGACAAGUUUCAAUCUUCAGGAAUCUUUGCUUUCUUCACGUGGCAUUGUCUCUCGGUAAAUAAUUGGCUAGUCUUUGUGUACCAGUCUUCGCUCUUCGGCCAUACAGAUCUUCAUGCGAUUAGCCUUGAGAGCUUCUUCAGCCUUCAAGAAUCCUCGUGUCAGUGGGGUCUUCCCUGCCCAUAUGAUUGAUAAUACCUUAUCAAUAUUUAAAGGACCUUAUGGGAAUUUCUAUCAAUAUUCGGGUCGGGUAUAUGUCCUCUGCGCCCGAAUAAUUGAUAGCAAUAUCAAUAUAUGUAGUUUGGGCUUUAUUCAGGUCGCUGCCCAUGCCCUGCUAUGUCCAUAUGAGCAUCAUCAUUUAACAGAUUGAAAUCAUAUUUUUCAUCACAUUCUUUCUUUAUUUCUUUAAAUUUUUCAUCCAUUUCUUGCCUUAAUUCUUUUAAUAUUUCCUCCUUUAAUUCUUUAUUAUCUUUGAAAAUUCUUCAAACCUUUUAUCCAUUUCUUGAUCUAUGUAUUCACUGUCUAAAGGGUCAAGCCCCUUUAGAAGGCAUUCUUGAUAUGUCUUAUAUUUUGGGGAUUCUUCUUUCUUUAUAUUGUUUGAGCUUGAUGCCUCCCCCUUUGUGGGAGUUGGUGAAGCAGGUAUGCCUCUUUUCAUUUGGAUAUAGUUUUUAGCCUUUGGGUCAAUAUAAUAAUCUGGUCCUAAUACCUUCCUUGCCCAAAGUAAGGCCUCACCUAUACUGUAAUAUCUUUUGAAUGUUAAAUCUUGUCCAUUUUUUUUUGCAUCUAAUUUUUCAAUCAUAAUAUUCUCCCAUUCCAAAUAUAUGCCAGGUUUAUUUCCAUCAAAUAUAAGAUAUAGAGUUUCUCCUUUUGGUAUUUCAACUUUUGCUGGCUUUGGCACAUUUUUGUUUAAUUCAUUAAAAUAUUCAGCCAAACUGUUGAGAAUUGAUAAAAAAUAUCCGUGUUCCUCUCUUUUGCGAGUAUAUUGGAACCAAAAGUUAUCCAAUAUGCAUCUUUGAGCUUCAUCGAGCUUAAUAUGGGAUUUUGGCUUAAAAUUGAAUGUAUUUGGCUGAAACAUUUUCAGCCUAUUUUCUUCUCCACAGAAGAGAUAUUCAUCCUUGUUGGCGAAUAAUCCUUUCCUCAUUCCUGCAAAUUUGAUGCACGAGAAAAUAUGUCAGGUAAGGUAUUAUCCUUCCCCUUAAUAUGCUCAAAAAUAACUUUAUAACCAUUCCCAGCUAUGGUGUCUUCAAAUAAGACCCAUCUUCUGGUUGAGCUUUUCUUACUAUUAAUUUUAUUGUAAUAUCGGCAUAUGGCUUCACAGUCUGUUCGUACUGUAAAUUCUUUAAAUCCUAGAUAUAACCUAAAUGCAUUUAUUGCAUUUACAACUGCAAGAAUUUCUCUAUCAAUAUUAUUUACCGUCUUUAAUUUGUAACUUCCUGAAGCAUAUCUGCAUAUUUUUUUGUCUGCCUUUGGAGAGUAUUUAUUGGGCUUUUGUUUUAGUAUCGCACCCCAUCCUACCUUAGAUGCAUCUGUCUCAAUUAUAAAAUAAUUGUCUUCUAGAGGCAAUUCUAGGGGUUUUAAAUUCCUGACCUUUUCCUUGAUGGCCUUUACUAAUUUUAUAUCUUCAGAAUUGAAGUAUCUUUGACCAUUUUUUCUUAAUUUAGCAUAUAAAGGUCCUGCUAGCUUUGCUAAGUUAUCUAUAUAGUUUCGCGCAUAGUUUACAAUUCCUAAGAACUGUUGUAAAACCUUUUUAUCACUCAUAUUAUCAGGAAACUCUAAUAUUUUCUUUGCAAUAUGUUCUUGUAGAUAUAUUUUUCCUUCUCCUAUUUCAUGACCAAGGAAAUUUAUUUUCUCUUUGCAAAUCUCCAUCUUCUUUUUAGAUAGUAUGAGCCCAUUUUGUUCUACCUUUCGAAAGAACACUUCAAGAUGGGCUAUAUGCUCUUUGUAUGAUUUUGAGAAUACUAACAAAUCAUCUACGUAUACUAAUAUAAAUGCUUGAUUCUCAUUAAAUAUAUUUUGCAUCUUUCUUUGAAAUAGUGCAGGUGCAUUCUUUAGGCCUAAUGGCAUUACUAGCCAUUCAUAAUGGCCUUGUGGACAAGUAAAUGCUGUCCAUGGAAUAGAUUCUUUAGCCAUUUUUACUUGCCAAAAUCCUGCCUUUAAAUCGAAUUUGGAGAAAUAUUUACUUCCUUGUAUUCUGUUAAUCCAUUCCUGCUUAUUAGGUAUGUUGUAUGCAUCGUCAACUGUAUUAUCAUUAAGCCUUUUAAAGUUAAUUACCAUUCUAGAUUUACCUCUAACUUCUUCAGCAUGAUUUCUAACUAUAAAAGCAGCAGAUCGAUGAGGGCUUCUGCUUUCUCUUAUAGCUUUUAACUUUAAUAACUCUUCAAUAUGCAUUUUGAACUCUUCGAUAUCUUUAGGAGUUGCUUCUAUUGGUCCUGACUUAAUUAUAUAAUCUGGAUUUAUGAUAUUUAUUUUGCAAACUAUAGAGUUCUUAUCCCAAUGUUUCAUUGGUAUUUCUCCAAUAAUUUGUAUACUUUCUAGUCUUUGCACAAUCUUAUCUAUAUCCUUUUUGGAUUUUAUAUCUCUAUACCAAUUUGGAGAGAAUGAUUGCAACCCAAUGCAUUCAGUACAUGUAUUUUCUAUAUGAUAUUCUUCUAUGGUCUCACUAAGUUCUUCGUCUUUACAGAAUUCAAGGGGAUCUGGUCUUGUGCUAUAUUCAUCAUCUAAAUUAGAUAUUUCUACAUUUUGCAAGGACUUUCUUUGUUUUCGCACUUCAGAUAUGUAUGGAACAUUAUCUUGAUAAGGAAUAAAUGUUACCCCCUCUUCAUGUAUGAUUGUGGUUUGUAAAGAUUGUUGUAAAAAUCUUAACCCUAUUAUCAUGUCAUCAUUUAUUA